AUUCCUAAAUAGUCUUUGACUAUUUAGAUAGUUGUUAGUGGCAGACGGGUGAGUAAUGCGUAGGAAUCUACCUAGUAGUAUGGAAUAGCCAUUAGAAAUGAUGGGUAAUACUGUAUAAUCCCUGCGGGGGAAAGAUUUAUCGCUAUUAGAUGAGCCUACGUUAGAUUAGCUAGUUGGUAAGGUAAUGGCUUACCAAGGCUAUGAUCUAUAGCUGGUCUGAGAGGACGAUCAGCCACACUGGAACUGAGAUACGGUCCAGACUCCUACGGGAGGCAGCAGUGGGGAAUAUUGGACAAUGGGCGAAAGCCUGAUCCAGCUAUGCCGCGUGAGUGAAGAAGGC
This 340-nucleotide ribosomal RNA is filed under the name uncultured Ehrlichia sp. Its description in RNAcentral is "bacterial SSU rRNA". It matches the Rfam family "Bacterial small subunit ribosomal RNA", at positions 66 to 415 of the family's 1533-position model. The record is from RNAcentral. Lineage: Bacteria; Pseudomonadati; Pseudomonadota; Alphaproteobacteria; Rickettsiales; Anaplasmataceae.